RNAcentral lists this ribosomal RNA (442 nucleotides) under uncultured bacterium. RNAcentral's name for it is "partial 16S ribosomal RNA". It matches the Rfam family "Bacterial small subunit ribosomal RNA", at positions 338 to 795 of the family's 1533-position model. The record is from RNAcentral.
CCUACGGGUGGCAGCAGUGGGGAAUAUUGGGCAAUGGACGCACGUCUGACCCAGCAACGCCGCGUGCAGGAAGAAGGCUUUCGGGUUGUAAACUUCUUUUAAGGGGGAAGAGCAGAAGACGGUACCCCUUGCAUCAUCUACGGCUAACUACGUGCCAGCAGCCGCGGUAAUACGUAGGUGGCAAGCGUUAUCCGGAUUUACUGGGUGUAAAGGGCGUGCAGCCGGAGUGACAAGUCAGAUGUGAAAUCCACGGGCUCAACCGCGGAAUUGCAGUUGAAACUGUUGGUCUGGAGUGGAGGAGGGGAGGGCGGAAUUAAUGGUGUAGCGGUGAAAUGCGUAGAUAUCAUGAAGAACGCCGGUGGCGAAGGCAAGUGGCCGGGGUGCAACUGACGCUGAGGCUCGAAAGUGUGGGGAUCAAACAGGAUUAGAUACCCUAGUAGUC